CCCCUAGAUGUUCUGGGCCGCACGCGCGCUACACUGAACAGUUCAACAAGUCUUAACCUUGGCCGAUAGGUCUGGGUAAUCUUUGAACGCUGUUCGUGAUUGGGAUAGACCUUUGCAAUUAUGGGUCUUCAACGAGGAAUUCCUAGUAAACGCAAGUCAUCAGCUUGCAUUGAUUACGUCCCUGCCCUUUGUACACACCGCCCGUCGCACCUACCGAUUGAAUGGUCCGGUGAAAUCUCGGGACGGCGGCUUGGUCGCUUGCGUCCGACUGCUGAAACUUGAUUAAACCAUAUCAUUUAGAGGAAGGUGAAGUCGUAACAA
Molecule: ribosomal RNA, 321 nt
Filed under: uncultured eukaryote
Lineage: Eukaryota
Description: partial 18S ribosomal RNA
Rfam family: Eukaryotic small subunit ribosomal RNA
Source: RNAcentral